This 484-nucleotide ribosomal RNA is filed under the name uncultured bacterium. RNAcentral describes it as "partial 16S ribosomal RNA". It matches the Rfam family "Bacterial small subunit ribosomal RNA", at positions 30 to 507 of the family's 1533-position model. The record is from RNAcentral.
AUUGAACGCUGGCGGCAGGCCUAACACAUGCAAGUCGAGCGGAUGAAGGGAGCUUGCUCCUGGAUUCAGCGGCGGACGGGUGAGUAAUGCCUAGGAAUCUGCCUGGUAGUGGGGGAUAACGUCCGGAAACGGGCGCUAAUACCGCAUACGUCCUGAGGGAGAAAGUGGGGGAUCUUCGGACCUCACGCUAUCAGAUGAGCCUAGGUCGGAUUAGCUAGUUGGUGGGGUAAAGGCCUACCAAGGCGACGAUCCGUAACUGGUCUGAGAGGAUGAUCAGUCACACUGGAACUGAGACACGGUCCAGACUCCUGCGGGAGGCAGCAGUGGGGAAUAUUGGACAGUAGGCGAAAGCCUGAUCCAGCCAUGCCGCGUGUGUGAAGAAGGUCUUCGGAUUGUAAAGCACUUUAAGUGGGGAGGAAGGGCAGUAAGUUAAUACCUUGCUGUUUUGACGUUACCAACAGAAUAAGCACCGGCUAACUUCGUG